UACGUAGGGUCCGAGCGUUGUCCGGAAUUAUUGGGCGUAAAGAGCUCGUAGGCGGUUUGUCGCGUCUGCUGUGAAAUCCCGAGGCUCAACCUCGGGCCUGCAGUGGGUACGGGCAGACUGGAGUGCGGUAGGGGAGAAUGGAAUUCCUGGUGUAGCGGUGGAAUGCGCAGAUAUCAGGAGGAACACCGAUGGCGCAGGCAGUUCUCUGGGCCGUAACUGACGCUGAGGAGCGAAAGCGUGGGGAGCGAACAGG
This 253-nucleotide ribosomal RNA is filed under the name uncultured bacterium. Its description in RNAcentral is "partial 16S ribosomal RNA". It matches the Rfam family "Bacterial small subunit ribosomal RNA", at positions 524 to 776 of the family's 1533-position model. The record is from RNAcentral.